RNAcentral lists this ribosomal RNA (446 nucleotides) under uncultured bacterium. RNAcentral describes it as "partial 16S ribosomal RNA". It matches the Rfam family "Bacterial small subunit ribosomal RNA", at positions 338 to 795 of the family's 1533-position model. The record is from RNAcentral.
CCUACGGGUGGCUGCAGUCGAGAAUCAUUCACAAUGGGGGAAACCCUGAUGGUGCGACGCCGCGUGGGGGAAUGAAGGUCUUCGGAUUGUAAACCCCUGUCAUGUGGGAGCAAAUUAAAAAGAUAGUACCACAAGAGGAAGAGACGGCUAACUCUGUGCCAGCAGCCGCGGUAAUACAGAGGUCUCAAGCGUUGUUCGGAAUCCCUGGGCGUAAAGCGUGCGUAGGCUGUUUCGUAAAUCGUGUGUGAAAGGCGCGGGCUCAACCCGCGGACGGCACAUGAUACUGCGAGACGAGAGUAAGGGAGGGGGAACCGGAAUGCUCGGUGUAGCAGUGAAAUGCGUAGAUAUCGAGAGGAACACUCGUGGCGAAGGCGGGUUCCUGGACAUUAACUGACGCUGAGGCACGAAGGCCAGGGGAGCGAAAGGGAUUAGAUACCCCAGUAGUC